UACGUAGGGUGCAGACGUUAAUCGGAAUUACUGGGCGUAAAGCGUGCGCAGGCGGUUUGCUAAGACAGGUGUGAAAUCCCCGGGCUUAACCUGGGAACUGCGCUUGUAACUGGCAAGCUAGAGUGUGGCAGAAGGGGAUGGAAUUCCACGUGUAGCAGUGAAAUGCGUAGAGAUGUGGAGGAACACCGAUGGCGAAAGCAGCCCCCUGGGCUAACACUGACGCUCAUGCACGAAAACGUGGGGAGCAAACAGG
This 253-nucleotide ribosomal RNA is filed under the name uncultured bacterium. RNAcentral describes it as "partial 16S ribosomal RNA". It matches the Rfam family "Bacterial small subunit ribosomal RNA", at positions 524 to 776 of the family's 1533-position model. The record is from RNAcentral.